AAUUAUUCUCAGGCUUGCUCUGCUCUUGUUCCUACUUGUCCAGGUCCAUAAACCCAGGACUCACAGGAAGGGCCCCUCCCCUGGGAGCCAAGUUCGGAGGAUGGUGCCUAUGGCAGGAGGGAGUGGUCUAUGAGCCCCACGGCUGGAGGAUUCCCCUCCAUUCUUCAGUGGCAUUUCCCUUGACACUUGUUUCCUGCUCUCACUACAGACAUCUGAACCCUGAAGCUUAACCCCGCCUUGAAGCCAGGACAUGGUUACCUAAGUGUUCCAAGGGACAAAACUCGAGUGAGUAACAGUGAUGGUGGUGACUCUGUGGGCGUUCAUCUGAAUCAGGUGUGGAACUGAGCACCUUGUGGCAUCAUGGAUGUGACCCUGAGAUUCACCUUGGAGAAUAAGUCACAGCAUGAGCCUAUGGAGGAAGGGAAGAAGCCUCUGUCAAGUGGUGGUGUUCACUUUUGCAGUUCUCUAAUAAAAAUGAAUUUUCAA
This 486-nucleotide long non-coding RNA is filed under the name Aotus nancymaae (Ma's night monkey). Its description in RNAcentral is "lncRNA (ENSANAG00000038624.1)". The record is from RNAcentral. Lineage: Eukaryota; Metazoa; Chordata; Mammalia; Primates; Aotidae.